RNAcentral lists this ribosomal RNA (465 nucleotides) under uncultured bacterium. RNAcentral's name for it is "partial 16S ribosomal RNA". It matches the Rfam family "Bacterial small subunit ribosomal RNA", at positions 339 to 795 of the family's 1533-position model. The record is from RNAcentral.
CUACGGGAGGCACCAGUAGGGAAUCUUCCACAAUGGACGAAAGUCUGAUGGAGCAACGCCGCGUGAGUGAUGAAGGUUUUCGGAUCGUAAAACUCUGUUGUAAGGGAAGAACACGUACGAGAGGGAAUGCUCGUACCUUGACGGUACCUUACGAGAAAGCCACGGCUAACUACGUGCCAGCGAGCCGCGGUAAUACGUAGGUGGCAAGCGUUGUCCGGAAUUAUUGGGCGUAAAGCGCGCGCAGGCGGCCUUUUAAGUCUGAUGUGAAAGCCCCCGGCUCAACCGGGGAGGGCCAUUGGAAACUGGAAGGCUUGAGUACAGAAGAGAAGAGUGGAAUUCCACGUGUAGCGGUGAAAUGCGUAGAGAUGUGGAGGAACACCAGUGGCGAAGGCGACUCUUUGGUCUGUAACUGACGCUGAGGCGCGAAAGCGUGGGGAGCAAACAGGAUUAGAUACCCUGGUAGUC